AGUGAACGCUGGCGGUAGGCCUAACACAUGCAAGUCGAACGGCAGCACAGUAAGAGCUUGCUCUUACGGGUGGCGAGUGGCGGACGGGUGAGGAAUACAUCGGAAUCUACUUUUUCGUGGGGGAUAACGUAGGGAAACUUACGCUCAUACCGCAUACGACCUACGGGUGAAAGCAGGGGAUCUUCGGACCUUGCGCGAUUGAAUGAGCCGAUGUCGGAUUAGCUAGUUGGCGGGGUAAAGGCCCACCAAGGCGACGAUCCGUAGCUGGUCUGAGAGGAUGAUCAGCCACACUGGAACUGAGACACGGUCCAGACUCCUACGGGAGGCAGCAGUGGGGAAUAUUGGACAAUGGGCGCAAGCCUGAUCCAGCCAUACCGCGUGGGUGAAGAAGGCCUUCGGGUUGUAAAGCCCUUUUGUUAGGAAAGAAAAGCAGCAGGUUAAUACCCCGCUGUUCUGACGGUACCCAAAGAAUAAGCACCGGCUAACUUCGUG
RNAcentral lists this ribosomal RNA (492 nucleotides) under uncultured bacterium. RNAcentral's name for it is "partial 16S ribosomal RNA". It matches the Rfam family "Bacterial small subunit ribosomal RNA", at positions 29 to 507 of the family's 1533-position model. The record is from RNAcentral.